GACGAACGCUGGCGGCGUGCUUAACACAUGCAAGUCGAGCGGUAAGGCCCUUUCGGGGGUACACGAGCGGCGAACGGGUGAGUAACACGUGGGCGACCUACCUUCAGCUCUGGGAUAAGCCUGGGAAACUGGGUCUAAUACCGGAUAGGACCGCAUGUCGCAUGGUGUGUGGUGGAAAGUUUGUUCUUAAUUGGACACUUCGGCUGGGGAUGGGCCCGCGGCCUAUCAGCUUGUCGGUGGGGUGAUGGCCUACCAAGGCGACGACGGGUAGCCGGCCUGAGAGGGCGACCGGCCACACUGGGACUGAGAUACGGCCCAGACUCCUACGGGAGGCAGCAGUGGGGAAUAUUGCGCAAUGGGCGGAAGCCUGACGCAGCGACGCCGCGUGGGGA
Molecule: ribosomal RNA, 392 nt
Filed under: uncultured bacterium
Lineage: Bacteria
Description: bacterial SSU rRNA
Rfam family: Bacterial small subunit ribosomal RNA
Source: RNAcentral